GCGCUCGUAGCUCAAUUGGAUAGAGCGUCGGCCUCCGAAGCCGAAGGUUGUGGGUUCGACCCCCGCCGGGCGCA
RNAcentral lists this transfer RNA (74 nucleotides) under Chthoniobacter flavus. Its description in RNAcentral is "tRNA-Arg". It matches the Rfam family "tRNA". From Rfam's summary of the family: Transfer RNA (tRNA) molecules are approximately 80 nucleotides in length. Lineage: Bacteria; Pseudomonadati; Verrucomicrobiota; Spartobacteria; Chthoniobacterales; Chthoniobacteraceae. The record is from RNAcentral. RNAcentral also lists the same sequence under 2 other names.